UUUAUGGAGAGUUUGAUCCUGGCUCAGAGUGAACGCUGGCGGCGUGCCUAAUACAUGCAAGUCGAACGAUGAAGCUUCUAGCUUGCUAGAAGUGGAUUAGUGGCGCACGGGUGAGUAAGGUAUAGUUAAUCUGCCCUACACAAGAGGACAACAGUUGGAAACGA
RNAcentral lists this ribosomal RNA (164 nucleotides) under Campylobacter coli. RNAcentral's name for it is "partial 16S ribosomal RNA". It matches the Rfam family "Bacterial small subunit ribosomal RNA", at positions 1 to 159 of the family's 1533-position model. The record is from RNAcentral. RNAcentral also lists the same sequence under 1 other name. Lineage: Bacteria; Pseudomonadati; Campylobacterota; Epsilonproteobacteria; Campylobacterales; Campylobacteraceae.